UUUUCAGUCCUCUGCUCUACCAGCUGAN
RNAcentral lists this transfer RNA (28 nucleotides) under Justicia gendarussa. Its description in RNAcentral is "partial tRNA-Phe". The record is from RNAcentral. Lineage: Eukaryota; Viridiplantae; Streptophyta; Magnoliopsida; Lamiales; Acanthaceae.